AUUGAACGCUGGCGGCAUGCCUUACACAUGCAAGUCGAACGGCAGCACGGGAGCAAUCCUGGUGGCGAGUGGCGAACGGGUGAGUAAUGUAUCGGAACGUACCUUUCAGUGGGGGAUAACGUAGCGAAAGUUACGCUAAUACCGCAUAUUCUGUGAGCAGGAAAGCAGGGGAUCGCAAGACCUUGCGCUGAUUGAGCGGCCGACAUCAGAUUAGCUAGUUGGUGAGGUAAAGGCUCACCAAGGCGACGAUCUGUAGCGGGUCUGAGAGGAUGAUCCGCCACACUGGAACUGAGACACGGUCCAGACUCCUACGGGAGGCAGCAGUGGGGAAUUUUGGACAAUGGGCGCAAGCCUGAUCCAGCCAUGCCGCGUGAGUGAAGAAGGCC
Molecule: ribosomal RNA, 386 nt
Filed under: uncultured bacterium
Lineage: Bacteria
Description: bacterial SSU rRNA
Rfam family: Bacterial small subunit ribosomal RNA
Source: RNAcentral